GACGAACGCUGGCGGCGCGCCUAACACGUGCAAGUCGAACGAGCGAGAGAGAGCUUGCUUUCUCGAGCGAGUGGCGAACGGGUGAGUAACGCGUGAGGAACCUGCCUCAAAGAGGGGGACAACAGUUGGAAACGACUGCUAAUACCGCAUAACGCAUUCGAGGGGCAUCCCUUGAAUGCCAAAGAUUUAUCGCUGAAAGAUGGGCUCGCGUCUGAUUAGCUAGUUGGUGGGGUAACGGCCCACCAAGGCGACGAUCAGUAGCCGGUCUGAGAGGAUGAACGGCCACAUUGGGACUGAGAUACGGCCCAG
This 309-nucleotide ribosomal RNA is filed under the name uncultured bacterium. RNAcentral's name for it is "bacterial SSU rRNA". It matches the Rfam family "Bacterial small subunit ribosomal RNA", at positions 28 to 334 of the family's 1533-position model. The record is from RNAcentral.